RNAcentral lists this unclassified non-coding RNA (280 nucleotides) under Hevea brasiliensis (rubber tree). The record is from RNAcentral. Lineage: Eukaryota; Viridiplantae; Streptophyta; Magnoliopsida; Malpighiales; Euphorbiaceae.
GUCAAGGUGCAUGCUAGCUGUCCGGACACCACCGUUAUUAAAAAAAGGCUCUAUGGCAGAUGAACUUUUGACACUCUGCACCUUCCCACCUAAACUUAUUUUGCAAGCAUUUAACUUUCAAACUCACAAAAUGAUGCAUCUGUGGCCUUUUCACAAGCUUUUCCUUGCUUCACCAACAAAAAUGUCUUGCAGAAGUGCAGAACCUCAUCACGAAGUGUUGGAAUUUUAGUGGUUCUCUUGGGAAGAGGUUGCUGGUAGUGUUGUGAUUGCACUAGCAGAG